This is a long non-coding RNA of Helianthus annuus (common sunflower), 612 nucleotides long. RefSeq lists it as uncharacterized. The record is from RefSeq and is a predicted model, not a curated record. NCBI's taxonomy places the organism in Eukaryota, Viridiplantae, Streptophyta, Magnoliopsida, Asterales, Asteraceae. The transcript has 4 exons.
UGGAAAAUUAUGUCAUAAGGAAAAUUCUACACUUCACAUUUUUCCAUCAUUUCAAAACCAUCAAAGCAAAAACCAUCCAACUUCUACACUCUUUCUUUCCAAUUGACCAAACCAAGAAGAGCACCAUAUUCAUAAUUUUAAAUCUCAAACAUAAGGAAAUCUUGCUAAUAUGGAGAAAGAUAGAUGAUUCAAAAAGGGUUCAAGACUUGAAGAAGCACUAGGAACCUUGGAUAAUCUUAUUUUCUCAUCUUCAUCAAUAGUUUUCUAGCAAAAAUUGUCGAGAAACGAACCGCGAACUAGGAAUCGAAUAGAGAUUUGCACGGAACGCAAAUCUGUCGAGAAACGAACCGCGAACAAGGAAUCGAAUAGAGAUUUGCACGGAACGCAAAUCUGAGAUUAGUGGACGGCUUUGGAAAAAUAUGUUCAAGUGGUUAUCAAGAACGCAAGCUUUUGUGAUGUCAUCCGUUUUCGAUUGUUAUGUUUUGAACUUUGAAUAAUGUAGUUAAAGUUGGUGUUGUUUCAAGUUUCAAACAAGACAUAUGUAAUGUAAACUAUGGUUUCGAAUCAAAUGUAUGGAUGAACAUCUUUUAUGUUUCAAAUAUGUUGUUUACU